UACGUAGGCGGCUAUUCAAGUCAGGGGUGAAAGCCUGGAGCUCAACUCCAGAACUGCCCUUGAAACUAGAUAGCUAGAAUCUUGGAGAGGCGAGUGGAAUUCCGAGUGUAGAGGUGAAAUUCGUAGAUAUUCGGAAGAACACCAGUGGCGAAGGCGACUCGCUGGACAAGUAUUGACGCUGAGGUACGAAAGCGUGGGGAGCAAACA
RNAcentral lists this ribosomal RNA (207 nucleotides) under uncultured bacterium. Its description in RNAcentral is "partial 16S ribosomal RNA". It matches the Rfam family "Bacterial small subunit ribosomal RNA", at positions 568 to 774 of the family's 1533-position model. The record is from RNAcentral.